GCUUUCCCAAAAGUAUGUGCUCUUCUGUAAAUGAGAGCAUUUGCCAUGGAAUCCCAGACGACCGCCCCCUCCUGGCCGGGGACCUGGUCAGCUUCGAUGUCUCCU
This 105-nucleotide non-coding RNA is filed under the name Heterosigma akashiwo. Lineage: Eukaryota; Raphidophyceae; Chattonellales; Chattonellaceae. The record is from RNAcentral.